GUAGGAGCCUAGCGUUAUCCGAAUUUACUGGGCGUAAAGCGCAUGUAGGCGGCCAGGUAAGUUGGCUGUGAAAUCUCCCGGCUCAACUGGGAGAGGCCGGUCAAGACUGCCUGGCUGGAGGCUGGUAGAGGGAGGUGGAAUUCCCGGUGUAGUGGUGAAAUGCGUAGAUAUCGGGAGGAACACCAGUGGCGAAAGCGGCCUCCUGGACCAGACCUGACGCUCAGAUGCGAAAGCUAGGGGAGUGAACGGGAUUAGAAACCCCGGUAAUCCUAGCUGUAAACGAUGUCGACUUGGCGUCGGUGGGGUAAAAGCCAGCGGUGCCGGAGCUAACGCAGUAAGUCGACCGCCUGGGGACUACGGCCGCAAGGUUAAA
Molecule: ribosomal RNA, 373 nt
Filed under: uncultured bacterium
Lineage: Bacteria
Description: bacterial SSU rRNA
Rfam family: Bacterial small subunit ribosomal RNA
Source: RNAcentral